Molecule: ribosomal RNA, 446 nt
Filed under: uncultured bacterium
Lineage: Bacteria
Description: partial 16S ribosomal RNA
Rfam family: Bacterial small subunit ribosomal RNA
Source: RNAcentral
CCUACGGGUGGCAGCAGUCGAGAAUCAUUCACAAUGGGGGAAACCCUGAUGGUGCGACGCCGCGUGGGGGAAUGAAGGUCUUCGGAUUGUAAACCCCUGUCAUGUGGGAGCAAAUUAAAAAGAUAGUACCACAAGAGGAAGAGACGGCUAACUCUGUGCCAGCAGCCGCGGUAAUACAGAGGUCUCAAGCGUUGUUCGGAAUCACUGGGCGUAAAGCGUGCGUAGGCUGUUUCGUAAGUCGUGUGUGAAAGGCGCGGGCUCAACCCGCGGACGGAACAUGAUACUGCGAGACUAGAGUAGUGGAGGGGGAACCGGAAUUCGCGGUGUAGCAGUGAAAUGCGUAGAUAUCGAGAGGAACACUCGUGGCGAAGGCGGGUUCCUGGACAUUAACUGACGCUGAGGCACGAAGGCCAGGGGAGCGAAAGGGAUUAGAUACCCCAGUAGUC